This is a long non-coding RNA of Brassica oleracea var. oleracea, 371 nucleotides long. RefSeq lists it as uncharacterized. The transcript has 3 exons. Lineage: Eukaryota; Viridiplantae; Streptophyta; Magnoliopsida; Brassicales; Brassicaceae. The record is from RefSeq and is a predicted model, not a curated record.
CCUGCUUCCACGCUAUCUCCCGAGGAGGAGCGAGUUUGCAUAAGAGACAUUGCUAUUGCUGCUGAGUCUAACAGAGCAAAGAGGGUGAUACGUUUUAUCUCAUCACUCAAGAGGUGUUCCACGCUCGCUAUUCUCCACUUGUUGCUUGGCUUUAAGAUCCAUGAAGCACAAGUUGGAAACAUUCGUGAACUUUCCAAUUCAUGACUUGGAUUUGACAAAGUAUGUAGCCAACAAAAAUCUCUCUCAACCACAACUCUAUGAGCUCUAUGCUUUGACCAACCAUUACGGUGGUAUGCGAAGCGGACACUACACCCCACAUAUCAAGCUUUUGGAGGAGAAUAGGUGGUAUAGUUUUGAUGAGGAUUUUUAAC